RNAcentral lists this ribosomal RNA (253 nucleotides) under uncultured bacterium. Its description in RNAcentral is "partial 16S ribosomal RNA". It matches the Rfam family "Bacterial small subunit ribosomal RNA", at positions 524 to 776 of the family's 1533-position model. The record is from RNAcentral.
UACGAAGGGGGCUAGCGUUGCUCGGAAUUACUGGGCGUAAAGCGCACGUAGGCGGCUUGUUAAGUCGGUGGUGAAAUCCUGGAGCUCAACUCCAGAACUGCCUUCGAUACUGAGAGUCUCGAGUCCGGGAGAGGUGAGUGGAACUGCGAGUGUAGAGGUGAAAUUCGUAGAUAUUCGCAAGAACACCAGUGGCGAAGGCGGCUCACUGGCCCGGUACUGACGCUGAGGUGCGAAAGCGUGGGGAGCAAACAGG